GUGUGGCUGAAAUAGAAUCCACUAAUUUAAAGAGUUGUCCACAUACUAUAGUAUAUAUAGUGUAGUUAACAAGUGUAAUAUAUAGUGUCAAUAUUUUUUAUGGUAAGUGUUUUCACUUAAAUAAUCAUUGAAUCAUGAGAUUCAUACAGUAUAUAUUUUUUAAGGAAAGUGUUUUCACUUAAAUCAAUUAAAUACAUGCAGUUGUGCAACUCACCCCUCUCUUUUACCAUCAUGCCUGUAGACAGAGAAGAUAAAACAUGAUGUAUUAUGGGUACUUGAAGAUGAAGACAGACUAUAUCCUCUCUAUUCUGACCUCCUCUGUAGACAGUAGAUAAAACAUGACGUAUUAUGGGUACUAGAACAUGAAGACAGACUACAUCCUCUCUAUUCUGACCUCCUCUGUAGACAGUAGAUAAAACAUGAUGUAUUAUGGUACUAGAACAUACAGACAGACUACAUCCUCUGUAUUCUGACCUCCUCUGUAGACAGUAGAUUAAACAUGAUGUAUUAUGGGUACUAGAACAUGAAGACAGGUACAUAGACAGACAGACAGAAACAUAGACAGACAGACAGGAACACAGACAGACAGACAGGAACACAGUUUUCACUUAAAUUAAUGAAAUACAUGCAUGCAGUUGUGGAAGCACACAGACUUUCACACACAACUUACCGCCUUCUUUUCUGAGCUUGUCUGUAGACAGAAGAUAAAACAUGAUGUAUUAUGGGUACUAGAACAUGAAGACAGACUACAUCCUCUCUAUUCUGACCUCCUCUGUAGACAGAAGACAGAGAAGAUAAAACAUGAUGUAUUAUGGGUACUAGAACAUGAAGACAGACUACAUCCUCUCUAUUCUGACCUCCUCUGUAGACAGUAGAUAAAACAUGAUGUAUUAUGGGUACUAGAACAUGAAGACAGACUACAUCCUCUCUAUUCUGACCUCCUCUGUAGACAGUAGAUAAAACAUGAUGUAUUAUGGUACUAGGACAUGAAGACAGGUACAUAGAUGUGCUCUAUUUCCUUUGAUAAUGUUGUUAAUGUUGAAAAUCAAAUGAAUAUAGUAAACACAGAGUCCAGAUUCGAAGUUCAUCUUCGGGGAGAAAUAUAAUAUACAGUACAGCCAGUAGAGGACUGGUCACCCCUCAGAGCCUGGUUCCUCUGGUCUACCCAGUACAGCCAGUAGAGGACUGGUCACCCCUCAGAGCCUGGUUCCUCUGGUCUACCCAGUACAGUCAGUAGAGGACUGGUCACCCCUCAGAGCCUGGUUCCUCUGGUCUACCCAGUACAGCCAGUAGAGGACUGGCCAACCCCUCAGAGCCUGGUUCCUCUGGUCUACCCAGUACAGCCAGUAGAGGACUGGUCACCCCUCAGAGCCUGGUUCCUCUGGUCUACCCAGUACAGCCAGUAGAGGACUGGUAACCCCUCAGAGCCUGGUUCCUCUCUACCCAGUACAGCCAGUAGAGGACUGGUCACCCCUCAGAGCCUGGUUCCUCUGGUCUACCCAGUACAGCCAGUAGAGGACUGGUCACCCCUCAGAGCCUGGUUCCUCUGGUCUACCCAGUACAGUCAGUAGAGGACUGGUCACCCCUCAGAGCCUGGUUCCUCUGGUCUACCCAGUACAGCCAGUAGAGGACUGGCCACCCCUCAGAGCCUGGUUCCUCUGGUCUACCCAGUACAGCCAGUAGAGGACUGGUAACCCCUCAGAGCCUGGUUCCUCUCUACCCAGUACAGCCAGUAGAGGACUGGUCACCCCUCAGAGCCUGGUUCCUCUGGUCUACCCAGUACAGCCAGUAGAGGACUGGUCACCCCUCAGAGCCUGGUUCCUCUCUACCCAGUAAAGCCAGUAGAGGACUGGUCACCCCUCAGAGCCUGGUUCCUCUGGUCUACCCAGUACAGCCAGUAGAGAACUGGUCACCCCUCAGAGCCUGGUUCCUCUGGUCUACCCAGUACAGCCAGUAGAGGACUGGUCACCCCUCAGAGCCUGGUUCCUCUGGUCUACCCAGUACAGCCAGUAGAGGACUGGUCACCCCUCAGAGUCUGGUUCCUCUGGUCUACCCAGUACAGCUAGUAGAGGACUGGUCACCCCUCAGAGCCUGGUUCCUCUCUACCCAGUAAAGCCAGUAGAGGACUGGUCACCCCUCAGAGCCUGGUUCCUCUCUACCCAGUACAGCCAGUAGAGGACUGGUCACCCCUCAGAGCCUGGUUCUUACCCAGGUGAUAGACUAGAUAAGGUUUAUAUUCCAGUGAUUUGUAACCAGAGGUAGAGAGGUUCUUACCCAGGUGAUAGACUAGAUAAGGUUUAUAUUCCAGUGAUAUGUAACCAGAGGUAGAGAGGUUCUUACCCAGGUGAUAGACUAGAUAAGGUUUCUAUUCCAGUGAUAUGUAACCAGAGGUAGAGAGGUUCUUACCCAGGUGAUAGACUAGAUAAGGUUUAUAUUCCAGUGAUAUGUAACCAGAGGUAGAGAGGUUCUUACCCAGGUGAUAGACUAGAUAAGGUUUAUAUUCCAGUGAUAUGUAACCAGAGGUAGAGAGGUUCUUACCCAGGUGAUAGACUAGAUAAGGUUUAUAUUCCAGUGAUAUGUAACCAGAGGUAGAGAGGUUCUUACCCAGGUGAUAGACUAGAUAAGGUUUAUAUUCCAGUGAUAUGUAACCAGAGGUAGAGAGGUUCUUACCCAGGUGAUAGACUAGAUAAGGUUUAUAUUCCAGUGAUAAGUAACCAGAGGUAGAGAGGUUCUUACCCAGGUGAUAGACUUGAUAAGGUUUAUAUUCCAGUGAUAUGUAACCAGAGGUAGAGAGGUUCUUACCCAGGUGAUAGACUAGAUAAGGUUUAUAUUCCAGUGAUAUGUAACCAGAGAUAGAGAGGUUCUUACCCAGGUUUAAGACAAGUUCAGGUUCCAGAUGCAGUAGAAUCAAGUAAAAUGCUGAUUUCACUCUUGUUCUGUCUUCUGCUUCUGCUUCUUCUAGGGCCUCGUACAACAGUCUCAUCUGGUCCUGGCUGGUCCCGGCAGCACUGAUCUGAGAGUUCAUCUCAUCAGGGAUCAACUUCUUCUUGUGCAGCUCAGACGCUAUGGAUUUCCCCUCGUAAACAUUCUGAAUGAGGUGAUACUUGUUUCUGGUCACAAACUCGGCAUGAUCUAGACAGGUUAGAUGUAGAGUUAUAUACUGUAGAACAAGAGGACAUUACUAGACAGGUUAGAUGUAGAGUUAUAUACUGUAGAACAAGAGGACAUUACUAGACAGGUUAGAUGUAGAGUUAUAUACUGUAGAACAAGAGGACAUUACUAGUCAGGUUAGAUGUAGAGUUAUAUACUGUAGAACAAGAGGACAUUACUAGUCAGGUUAGAUGUAGAGUUAUAUACUGUAGAACAAGAGGACAUUACUAGACAGGUUAGAUGUAGAGUUAUAUACUGUAGAACAAGAGGACAUUACUAGACAGGUUAGAUGUAGAGUUAUAUACUGUAGAACAAGAGGACAUUACUAGUCAGGUUAGAUGUAGAGUUAUAUACUGUAGAACAAGAGGACAUUACUAGUCAGGUUAGAUGUAGAGUUAUAUACUGUAGAACAAGAGGACAUUACUAGUCAGGUUAGAUGUAGAGUUAUAUACUGUAGAACAAGAGGACAUUACUAGUCAGGUUAGAUGUAGAGUUAUAUACUGUAGAACAAGAGGACAUUACUAGACAGGUUAGAUGUAGAGUUAUAUACUGUAGAACAAGAGGACAUUACUAGACAGGUUAGAUGUAGAGUUAUAUACUGUAGAACAAGAGGACAUUACUAGACAGGUUAGAUGUAGAGUUAUAUACUGUAGAACAAGAGGACAUUACUAGACAGGUUAGAUGUAGAGUUAUAUACUGUAGAACAAGAGGACAUUACUAGUCAGGUUAGAUGUAGAGUUAUAUACUGUAGAACAAGAGGACAUUACUAGUCAGGUUAGAUGUAGAGUUAUAUACUGUAGAACAAGAGGACAUUACUAGUCAGGUUAGAUGUAGAGUUAUAUACUGUAGAACAAGAGGACAUUACUAGUCAGGUUAGAUAUAGAGUUAUAUACUGUAGAACAAGAGGACAUUACUAGACAGGUUAGAUGUAGAGUUAUAUACUGUAGAACAAGAGGACAUUACUAGUCAGGUUAGAUAUAGAGUUAUAUACUGUAGAACAAGAGGACAUUACUAGUCAGGUUAGAUGUAGAGUUAUAUACUGUAGAACAAGAGGACAUUACUAGUCAGGUUAGAUGUAGAGUUAUAUACUGUAGAACAAGAGGACAUUACUAGACAGGUUAGAUGUAGAGUUAUAUACUGUAGAACAAGAGGACAUUACUAGUCAGGUUAGAUGUAGAGUUAUAUACUGUAGAACAAGAGGACAUUACUAGUCAGGUUAGAUGUAGAGUUAUAUACUGUAGAACAAGAGGACAUUACUAGACAGGUUAGAUGUAGAGUUAUAUACUGUAGAACAAGAGGACAUUACUAGUCAGGUUAGAUGUAGAGUUAUAUACUGUAGAACAAGAGGACAUUACUAGUCAGGUUAGAUGUAGAGUUAUAUACUGUAGAACAAGACAAAACCAUGAGGUCUGUGAUUAACAGUUGACCCAUCAGUAUUAUAGUAAUAAACCAUGAGGUCUGUGAUUAACAGUUGACCCAUCAGUAUUAUAGUAAUAAACCAUGAGGUCUGUGAUUAACAGUUGACC
Salmo trutta (river trout) is the source of this 4676-nucleotide long non-coding RNA. NCBI's taxonomy places the organism in Eukaryota, Metazoa, Chordata, Actinopteri, Salmoniformes, Salmonidae. The record is from Ensembl.